Non-coding RNA from Acanthosepion pharaonis, 114 nucleotides. The record is from the annotation of a GenBank genome assembly. Lineage: Eukaryota; Metazoa; Mollusca; Cephalopoda; Sepiida; Sepiidae.
UUACGGUCAUAUCACCUUCAAACACCUGUUCUCGUACAAUUACCGAAGUUAAGCAACGUCGAUUCUGGGCGGUAUCUAGAUGAGUGACCGCUUGGGAAUAUCGGGUGCUGCAAG